AUGCAAACAAACCGUUCAACAACAACAACACGAGGAAACAUGCGUGAAAAGGCAAACAAACAAUAUUUGUAAACACGAGAACAACUGCUGGCGGUACACAUUAUAAGAAGAUCACUUUAUUGGACGAGAAGUUGUUAUGCCUACAAAUUUCAGACGUUGCAUCUUGAAGACAGCGAUCACUUCAUGAUCAUUCUCACAGGAAAGUGAAGAGAAAAUGGCCAACAGGGAGUGUAUAUUGGGAAAAUUGAAACCUUUCAAAGCAACUGAUGAGUACUACAAUCUUCUGCCAGAGGAUGAAGCAGCAACCCCCAAGUCAUUCACAAGAUUACAAAAGGGCUAUGAAUUGUUUUUUUUUUUUCUUUUUUAUUUGGCAAGCACAAUUCUGCUGCCAAAACCAAGAAUGCCUUCACAAUUAGCUUCGAAUAUGAUAAUGGAGAACAGUGAAAGUUUUUGUUAGUAAGAAAAUCAGUCUUGGAGAGGAAGGAAAGAGAUCCGUGAUAACAGAUGAUACCUUAAAGCACUAUCUAGAUAAAUAUAUGUGCAAGUAAUCUCGCAUCAACAAAUAUGUGUCGUAACAGUGAGAAAGCUCAUUUUCAAAAGUGUGUUUUUGGAUAUCAGACCAACCAUGACAUUUAUAAACAGUCCUCCAGAGUUGGUUGAACACAGUACAUGUACAUUAGUCCGGAGGAUUUAAUCAUAACUGCCACCAACAAAGUUGAAGUGGUUUUUACUGGUUUGAAAUGUGAGGUGUAAUCAUA
Molecule: long non-coding RNA, 758 nt
Organism: Mercenaria mercenaria
Lineage: Eukaryota; Metazoa; Mollusca; Bivalvia; Venerida; Veneridae
Exons: 3
Source: RefSeq, a predicted model, not a curated record